UACGGAGGGUGCAAGCGUUAUCCGGAUUCACUGGGUUUAAAGGGUGUGUAGGCGGGCUGUUAAGUCAGUGGUGAAAUCUCCGGGCUCAACCCGGAAACUGCCAUUGAUACUAAUUGUCUUGAAUUUUGUUGAGGUAGGCGGAAUAUGUCAUGUAGCGGUGAAAUGCGUAGAUAUACGGAGGAACACCAGAGGCGAAGGCGGAUCGCUGGGCCAACACUGACGCUGAGACGCGAAAGCUAGGGUAGCAAACGGG
RNAcentral lists this ribosomal RNA (253 nucleotides) under uncultured bacterium. RNAcentral's name for it is "partial 16S ribosomal RNA". It matches the Rfam family "Bacterial small subunit ribosomal RNA", at positions 524 to 776 of the family's 1533-position model. The record is from RNAcentral.